AUGUACUUAAUAGAUAUGGUGAUGAGGAACAAUGUGAGGGGUGUUUGAAGUAUUAUUUACGACAAGGGGAUGCAGUAAAGAGGAAUGUCUUUAGUCUCAAUUUGAAUAUGGAAAGAGUGUCUGCCUCUUGAAUGGAAGCAGGAAGAUUAUUCCACAGGAGGGCCUCCUGUUGGGCUUUUUGAUAUUCUUGGAAUUACAAGGAGACCUGCACUCUGGGAACGAGGUGGUCUUGGUGGGCAAUAGGGGACAACUGAUUCCACUAAGACGUUUGGGGCUUUGUAUGUUAGUGUAACCGGGUCAUAUUUUGAGGUUGUUGUAUGUUUUCUAAGUGGUAAUGGGACAUGUCUCCUUUAAAUGCCAGAAAACUACAUUGCAUCAUGUUGUAGUUCCUGGGUUGGUAUGUGGUGAAUUCUGGGUAUUAAGACUGGAGCGAGAACGCAGUGCAUCAGAGAAGGUGGCUGGCGUGAGGGAUAUUUGGUGAUACUUGGUUAAUAUUGCUGACAUAUAGCCAUACUGGUAUCCUGGGAGCACACGUGUGUGGAGGAUAGAGAUGUGUGCGUGUUAGGAACAUGUAAGUGUUGGUAUCAUUUCAUUCGGACAUACUGGUGUAUAUUUUGGUUUUAUGUAUAUUUUAGCUUUAUGUAUUUGAUGUUAGUGGUAUACUAAUGAUGUUUUUGUAUUUGUCUACUCUCAGUAUCACCACUACCGUUUUGUAUUGCUGAACCUUACUUUCAUUUAUUUUCUUAUACGGCUAGUUGAGCUACAGAGUUGGGAUAGGCUUAGCUUGUGUACAGGUUAGUUUAUCAUAUAAGAUUUCUAUUUGAUGUCAUUUUAUUUUUGUACUUUUCUAUACAAAUAUUUUGUUUUAUAUAUCUAUCAGAUAAAGAACCCUUACUCUUAA
Molecule: long non-coding RNA, 901 nt
Organism: Clupea harengus (Atlantic herring)
Lineage: Eukaryota; Metazoa; Chordata; Actinopteri; Clupeiformes; Clupeidae
Exons: 2
Source: RefSeq, a predicted model, not a curated record